UACGGAGGAUGCGAGCGUUAUCCGGAUUUAUUGGGUUUAAAGGGUGCGUAGGCGGGCUUUUAAGUCAGCGGUAAAAAUUCGGGGCUCAACCCCGUCCGGCCGUUGAAAUUGGGGGCCUUGAGUGGGCGAGAAGAAGGCGGAAUGCGUGGUGUAGCGGUGAAAUGCAUAGAUAUCACGCAGAACCCCGAUUGCGAAGGCAGCCUUCCGGCGCCCUACUGACGCUGAGGCACGAAAGUGCGGGGAUCGAACAGG
RNAcentral lists this ribosomal RNA (252 nucleotides) under uncultured bacterium. RNAcentral describes it as "partial 16S ribosomal RNA". It matches the Rfam family "Bacterial small subunit ribosomal RNA", at positions 524 to 776 of the family's 1533-position model. The record is from RNAcentral.